Molecule: long non-coding RNA, 900 nt
Organism: Arvicola amphibius (Eurasian water vole)
Lineage: Eukaryota; Metazoa; Chordata; Mammalia; Rodentia; Cricetidae
Exons: 2
Source: RefSeq, a predicted model, not a curated record
GAGAAGGAAGGCAGAGAGACGCCAUGGAUCUGCUGGAUACAGACGCUGGGAAUUUUACCCGGCUAAGCUAGCCGGGCUGCUAGAAUGAACAAGCGGGCCCUCCUCCAACAAGCACAGAGCACCAGGACCAAGGAGACCGACCCUCUCUCAAGUAAGGUGGAGAGUGUUUGAGGAAGUCAUUUGAUGUCAACCUCUGGCAAACUUGCAUGCACUCAUGCAAACACACACACACACACACACACACACACACACACUUAAAAAUACUUCUUUUAAUAAUAUUUCUGGUAUUCUUUAAUAACAGUAGUUCUGUCAUAAGACUGCAGAUGGAAAACUCUCCAGAUUAAAACCCACUAAACCCCAGGAGGUAAAGGUGUGUGUAGCCAAGCCGGAGGACCUCAGUUUGAUCUUCAGGACUCACAAAGUGGAAAAGAAAGCUAACUUCCACCUGUUCGGCUUUGACUUCCACAUGUAUGCUGUGGUAUGUUCACAUGUGAAUAUACAUGCAAGAAUGCAUACACACACAAUAAAAAUAUAACUAAAAAUAAAUAAAGACUAGUUUUAUUUGCUUUAAAGUCUGCAUAAAAAUAAAAAUCAAAACAAACAAACAAAAAUGGAAUUACUGAACAAUUUGGGAGUUUUGAAAUAAAUCGUGGUGGUCAGUAGGCACCAAUGUGGCUUCAUUAAAUAUAAAUGCCAAAGCCUAAGAGACAAUAGUAAAAGUUGUCUGUCAGUGUUAUAGUGACUUAUCACAUGAUGUGCUCUAUAACAGAACUUAUUGUCUUAUCCUACUUGCUUGGCACUCCUUCUGAUUUCUGGAGGGAAUUGUUGCAUUGUCUUUAGAAAAUGUUUCUUGCACUUAUUCUGUUCAUGUGGAUAUUAAAGAGGCUGUUAAUUAUGCUA